RNAcentral lists this ribosomal RNA (628 nucleotides) under Dictyota coriacea. RNAcentral's name for it is "eukaryotic LSU rRNA". It matches the Rfam family "Eukaryotic large subunit ribosomal RNA", at positions 23 to 656 of the family's 3401-position model. The record is from RNAcentral. Lineage: Eukaryota; Phaeophyceae; Dictyotales; Dictyotaceae.
ACCCGCUGAAUUUAAGCAUAUAACUAAGCGGAGGAAAAGAAACUAACAAGGAUUCCCCCAGUAACGGCGAGUGAAGCGGGAAGAGCUCACGUUGUGAAUCUGGCCCUCGGGCCCGAACUGUACUCUGGAGAGGCGUGGCCAGCCGCUGUCCGCGGCCAAGUCUGAUUGGAAAUGAGCAUCAAGGAGGGUGACAAUCCCGUCCAUGCCGCGGUAUCGACCAGCGCGCGUCCGGCCCGCUUUCGACGAGUCGAGUUGCUUGGGAUUGCAGCUCAAAGAGGGUGGUAAACUCCAUCCAAAGCUAAACACGGGGGGGAGACCGAUAGCGAACAAGUACCGUGAGGGAAAGAUGCAAAGAACUUUGAAAAGAGAGUUAAAGAGUGCCUGAAAUUGCUGGAAGGGAAGCGAAGGAAAGAAGUGUGCGGUUGCCCGGGCGCCAACCCCUACCUGUCCGCAGGUGGGGGUAGGCCGCCCGGCCGCGGUCAGGGGCCGCGCCGGGCUCGGGGGAAGAGCCGUCGGGGAUCGGUAGGCGCGCCGCUUCGGCGGAGCGUUGUCAGGCCCCGGUGGUGCCAUUCAUUGCCCUGAGCCCGGCCCCCUUCUGGCGGUCGCGGCUUUUCUUCACCCCGUCUUA